Molecule: long non-coding RNA, 1047 nt
Filed under: Strigops habroptila (Kakapo)
Lineage: Eukaryota; Metazoa; Chordata; Aves; Psittaciformes; Psittacidae
Description: lncRNA (ENSSHBG00005014964.1)
Source: RNAcentral
GGACAAAAUCAGACUUUGUUUAUUAAAAAAAUACUUUACAGGAAAAAAAUUCUAUGCAUUCCGUUGGACUAUUUUACAAAGAAAUAGCUUAACAGUUUGACACUCGUGUACAGUCAGCUACUGACAGAAAUGCACUGCGUUAUUCACAGAGAGGCCCGAGCGCUUGUGGCUGCCCGGCUGUGGUAAAAACCUCUUCGAAACACUUGCUAAUGUCAAUAAAUAUACUAAGGCCGCACAAAGCAAACAGUCUUCCAGGCAAUUGUACACGUCCUCUGUAGGCAGAGACCUUAGAUAAAUUAAAACCACAGAAACAAAAAAUAAAUCUUAGCUGCCAAUCAAAAUCAAAUUAAGAAUCACAAAAACAGCAACACAGAAGUCUCUUUACAUGUUGUACAAAGAAAGCAAAGUGUAUGUGUUUCUCCGAGCCCCGCAGACACCUCCUCAGCCCCCAUGCCAUCGCCCAUGGGUGCUGUGCCAUGGGGGUGUCAUACCAGGUGGGUUUUGGGGAGCAGAACCAAGCCAUCCCCUCCUCUCGCACCCCUUGAGCAGGUUCCAAGCUGCCAACACUUUGCACUCCGUGGAAACUACAAUUCCAGAGCUUAUGACUCGGUUGAGACCUGACAAGAGUAGGCAGGGCCAGAUCAAGGGCUGGAGCUCAUGCCGUGGGAAAGCUCCGACAAUCUGCCUUGUCCAGGGGAACCAAACUGUAACAGGCAGGGAAGGUGAAGAGCACAGUAGAGAGCCCUUUUCUGUAUGGCAAGAUCUACACCUGUGAAAAAUGGUGAUUAUAAAUCCCCUGAGAACACUUCACCGAGUGUCCCAACUUCCUGGAAGAGAACGUGUCAAGGAUCUGCACAAACUGACUUAUGGCAUGUUUAAAGGAGAGAGGAAAGGGAAGCUAACAGAUAUUUCAUCUUUAAACUGCAUUUUGUUAGCCCCCUUCUAGCCCUGCUGAGCCACUCGCCUUUAUCCCAAGUGACAUUUUUCACCAACACCACUUUAUCUCACAGCCUAAGCCUGAGUUCACACAUCAAAGCCAAUGGAUCU